RNAcentral lists this long non-coding RNA (2089 nucleotides) under Homo sapiens (human). RNAcentral describes it as "non-protein coding lnc-CD72-1:1". Lineage: Eukaryota; Metazoa; Chordata; Mammalia; Primates; Hominidae. The record is from RNAcentral.
UAGCCGCCGGGGAUCAGGCUCCGCGGCCUGCCGGGGGCGGGGCUGGGCCGGGCCUCCGCUUAACUCCUUCCAGCCCGGCCUCCCGGCAGCGGCCACGCCCCCUCAGGUGCGCACCCCCGCCUCCCCGCUUUCCGGCCGCGAUGCCCUGGGCCGCCCGGGUCAAAUAAGCUCCGGCCUGAGCUUGAAUAACGGGAGGGAAUUAAGGGCUGAUGGUGCGCAUGCGAAGCUUAGCUGCCCAGGGAGUCCCCUCUCCUCCCUGGGUUACUGUCCGUUGAGGGUCGGGCUCAGAAACCUGCCGGAUUCCUGGGCUCCAGGGACCAACGGGGCAGAAAGGUAGGCCCCUCAGGCCCAGCCGCAAUCAGAGGUAGCCUAGCAACCUGUCCACCUUCCUGGCCUGCGCCCCGGCCCAGCCUGCCCAUUUCCCAGGUCUCUUCGACUCCGACACCUUGAACCUCUGGCCUCCCUAACACCUUCUACCUUCACGGGAGGUUGUGAUACCCCGGGGCUAUAGGAAGCCUUUGGCCGGCCCAUACCCAGCUUAGCCCCGACUCCUCCUCACUUCAUCCUGCCGCCUCCCAAUAAAGAAGAGAGUCCAGGUCCUCCGCCCUGUGACCACCCAGCCGGGACCUCCCUCUUACUACUUUGCCCAAAAGACUCUAAGAGAGAAGCCUCCACCUGCAGGGAAGCCCGUCCUUCCGCAAGAUCCCACCCCCCUCAAAGAACGCUGUCCCUCGGAGACCCCUCCCUUCCUCAGUGAGACACCUCCCUUUCGGGGGCACUUUUCCCCAGUGUGGCACUGCCACCGUCAGUGUGUCAGAACCCCUCAGUGCUGCACCCCCUUGCUCUGUGUUCCUCCCACGCAGUGAGACCCCACCUCCGAGGAAAUCCACUAGUCAUUGUGACCCCUCCUCUCAAGGUGACUCCUCCCCUCAGUGUGACCCAGCCCUCCUCAGUGUGAGGGUUCCGCCCUCCACGUAGGAACACGGUCUGCCCCCUAAGGCCGGAGGAGGGGCUGCAACUGGCCUCUUUAAGUCGGCGCGGUGCCUGGGUGCGCACGCAGUCUCAGGACUCCGUGCACUCGCCGUACCAGACGCUUCCGGUUCUGCCGCUGGUUCCUCCUCCGGCCUCGGCGAAAUAGCCAAUCAUCGCUAGGGUUGGGUGGUGACACGCGAUCCCGGCGGUCCACUCCGGGGCAAACGGUUUAAAAGGGCGUCGUUGAGCCGCCUGCCACCUAGCGGCGGAACGGUGGGCGGAGGGAGAGAAAGCUGCCGUCUCGAGUGCGGAGGCAGGCUGAGAGCUCCUCGAGGAAGCGAGGCUGAGUCCUGCAGGAAUUCUCAAGUACUGUAUUGAUAUUUCUGUAGUAAGCUUAAAAGAGAAUUAAUACAAGCACAGUCCGUAUCGCGUGGGGUUACCGUCUUCCAAUGGAGUCUGGUUACACGUUUAUGAGACUUGGAGCCAAGAAAUACUACUCGCUUGUCGAGGGCUACUGAGAAAAGAAUAAAGACGGUCAUAAAUGAUACAUGAUGCCUUAGAGUCAAGAGAAGGCCAGAUGCUGUCUUGGUGCGCUGUACAAGGGAAGGUAUUGCACAAGUUUGGAGCGAGAGGAAUGGGAGACAUUCGCAAUCCUUCCACAGCCGGUGGAGGCAGGCCAACCUCACAGAAUUGCACGGGGCACGUGCAUCCUGUUCUUUUUUCUGGAGGCGUUUGGUCUUCAGCACACGCUCAUUCAUCACAUUAAUGUUAACAUCUACAACUAAUUUGUGAAUUUGCUUUUUAUUGUAUGACAUCUGUAAACACUAGGAAUUUAUGCCUCAUUUUGUUUAAUAUCAUAGAUCUUUUAACCGACACUGGGUUCUGGCCCUUUAUCACGUUUGAGAAUUACUGUAGUAGUUGGUGAUGGUAAUGCCAAGCCAAAGAGCCAGGUGCCUAUUUUUUGUAAGAUGAUUGCGGUGGUUGUAUGGAGGCCGGGAGACUGAUUAGGAAGGAGGCUGUGACUGUGGUUCAAUCAGGAAAGGAUGAGACCAGCCUGGCCAACGUAGUGAAACCCCGUCUCUACUAAAAAUACAAAAAAAUUAGCCUGAUGUGGCGA